GAUGAACGCUGGCGGCGUGCCUAAUACAUGCAAGUCGAGCGAACAGACGAGGAGCUUGCUCCUCUGACGUUAGCGGCGGACGGGUGAGUAACACGUGGAUAACCUACCUAUAAGACUGGGAUAACUUCGGGAAACCGGAGCUAAUACCGGAUAAUAUAUUGAACCGCAGGGUUCAAUAGUGAAAGACGGUUUUGCUGUCACUUAUAGAUGGAUCCGCGCCGCAUUAGCUAGUUGGUAAGGUAACGGCUUACCAAGGCAACGAUGCGUAGCCGACCUGAGAGGGUGAUCGGCCACCCUGGAACUGGGACACGGUCCAGACUCCUACGGGAGGCAGCAGUAGGGAAUCUUCCGCAAUGGGCGAAAGCCUGACGGAGCAACGCCGCGUGAGUGAUGAAGGUCUUCGGAUCGUAAAACUCUGUUAUUAGGGAAGAACAAAUGUGUAAGUAACUAUGCACGUCUUGACGGUACCUAAUCAGAAAGCCACGGCUAACUACGUG
RNAcentral lists this ribosomal RNA (497 nucleotides) under uncultured bacterium. RNAcentral describes it as "partial 16S ribosomal RNA". It matches the Rfam family "Bacterial small subunit ribosomal RNA", at positions 28 to 507 of the family's 1533-position model. The record is from RNAcentral.